Molecule: ribosomal RNA, 403 nt
Filed under: uncultured bacterium
Lineage: Bacteria
Description: partial 16S ribosomal RNA
Rfam family: Bacterial small subunit ribosomal RNA
Source: RNAcentral
AUUGAACGCUAGCGGCAUGCCUUACACAUGCAAGUCGAGCGAGCGGCGGACGGGGGAGUAAGGUAUGUGGACUGUGUGAUAGGGGGGGAUAAAUAUUGGAAAAGGUAGCUAAUACCGCACACUCUCGGAUAACCCAUAUGGGAUGAGAUAGUAGGUGAGGUAAAGGCUCACCUAGGCGACGAUCCCUAGCUGGUCUGAGAGGUUGAUCAGCCACACUGGGACUGAGACACGGUCCAGACUCCUACGGAGCCAGUAGGGGGGAAUAUUGCACAAUGGGCGCAAGCCUGAUACAGCCAUGCCGCGUGUAUGAAGAAGGCCCUAGGGUUGUAAAGUACUUUCAGUCGGGAGGCGUUACCGACAGAAGAAGCACCGGCUAACUCCGUGCCAGCAGCCGCGGUAAUAC